RNAcentral lists this ribosomal RNA (253 nucleotides) under uncultured bacterium. RNAcentral's name for it is "partial 16S ribosomal RNA". It matches the Rfam family "Bacterial small subunit ribosomal RNA", at positions 524 to 776 of the family's 1533-position model. The record is from RNAcentral.
UACGUAGGGUGCAAGCGUUGUCCGGAAUUAUUGGGCGUAAAGAGCUCGUAGGCGGUUUGUCGCGUCUGCUGUGAAAACCCGAGGCUCAACCUCGGGCCUGCAGUGGGUACGGGCAGACUAGAGUGCGGUAGGGGAGAUUGGAAUUCCUGGUGUAGCGGUGGAAUGCGCAGAUAUCAGGAGGAACACCGGUGGCGAAGGCGGAUCUCUGGGCCUUGCCUGACGCUGAGGCGCGAAAGCUAGGGGAGCGAACAGG